Molecule: ribosomal RNA, 449 nt
Filed under: uncultured bacterium
Lineage: Bacteria
Description: bacterial SSU rRNA
Rfam family: Bacterial small subunit ribosomal RNA
Source: RNAcentral
UACCAGACUCCUACGGGAGGCAGCAGUGGGGAAUAUUGCACAAUGGGGGAAACCCUGAUGCAGCGACGCCGCGUGAGGGAAGAAGGUUUUCGGAUUGUAAACCUCUGUCUUUGGUGACGAAAGAUGACGGUAGCCAAAGAGGAAGCUACGGCUAACUACGUGCCAGCAGCCGCGGUAAUACGUAGGGGGCAAGCGUUAUCCGGAUUUACUGGGUGUAAAGGGAGCGUAGACGGCAGCGCAAGUCUGAAGUGAAAUCCCAUGGCUUAACCAUGGAACUGCUUUGGAAACUGUGCAGCUGGAGUGCAGGAGAGGUAAGCGGAAUUCCUAGUGUAGCGGUGAAAUGCGUAGAUAUUAGGAGGAACACCAGUGGCGAAGGCGGCUUACUGGACAGUAACUGACGUUGAGGCUCGAAAGCGUGGGGAGCAAACAGGAUUAGAUACCCCCGUAUC